RNAcentral lists this ribosomal RNA (165 nucleotides) under uncultured bacterium. Its description in RNAcentral is "partial 16S rRNA". It matches the Rfam family "Bacterial small subunit ribosomal RNA", at positions 355 to 511 of the family's 1533-position model. The record is from RNAcentral.
UAGGGAAUCUUCGGCAAUGGACGAAAGUCUGACCGAGCAACGCCGCGUGAGUGAAGAAGGUUUUCGGAUCGUAAAACUCUGUUGGUAGAGAAGAACGUUGGUGAGAGUGGAAANCUCAUCAAGUGACGGUAACUACCCAGAAAGGGACGGCUAACUACGUGCCAC